This 84-nucleotide ribosomal RNA is filed under the name Capparis spinosa (caperbush). RNAcentral describes it as "partial 5.8S ribosomal RNA". It matches the Rfam family "5.8S ribosomal RNA", at positions 73 to 154 of the family's 154-position model. Rfam says of the family: 5.8S ribosomal RNA (5.8S rRNA) is a component of the large subunit of the eukaryotic ribosome. It is transcribed by RNA polymerase I as part of the 45S precursor that also contains 18S and 28S rRNA. Lineage: Eukaryota; Viridiplantae; Streptophyta; Magnoliopsida; Brassicales; Capparaceae. The record is from RNAcentral.
UGCAGAAUCCCGUGAACCAUCGAGUCUUUGAAGGCAAGUUACACCCGAGGCUACCAGGCCAAGGGCAUGCCUACCUAGGUGUCA